CACAAAAUUUCACGGAUUCUUUUAUUCAUUUUCAUUUCCCCGCUCCUCUGCUUCUUCUUCGGCUCUUCUUUAACCAGCUGUCGUUGCUCCUCCUCUUCGUGCCUCAUCACUGCUGCUCUUCCUCUCCUCUUCCUUCCGCGUCGCUCCUCCUUCUCCCACCGCCAUUGAGCUCUACCUUCUUCCAGAUCGAACUAAUUCAGUGGCUAUAGGCAAACUUGAGAUGGUGAUUAUAGAGUUGGUGAUGGAGAGUUGUUUAUUCAUGGGUUGGUGAUGAUCCAUGUGGAGAUGGUGAUUAUAGAGUUGUUACUGGAUUGGAAGUUUAUGCAGUGUCAAUUGUUGGGCCAUUUCCCAUUGCUGUUACUAAUCUAUUGGAUCUUCAGAGGUUGGACCUCCACAACAAUAAGUUCACAGGACCUAUUCCUCCUCAAAUCGGACAACUGAAGCGUCUGAAAAUUCUUUGGCAAAGAAAUAUCAUCCAGAUACGAAUAAGAAUAAUCCUUCUGCGAAGAGGACGUUUCAAGAGAUAAGAGAUGCUUAUGAGAAUUCUUUCAAUGUUGAAAAUGACCAGUCAAGAAAAAAUAUUUCUAAAAGUUGUGGGCAUAAGAUUCAGGGAUUUCAAGGCCAAGUUAGUGAGUGGUUGGAUUACUAAAAUGAAACAGAGAGUUUGAAAUCAGUGAAGUGUGCACAACAAACGGGCAAUACAAAGUGCGGCUACUACGUGAUGAAGUUCAUGUACGAUAUAGUCACAAGAUCUCGAAAAGGUAUUCAAUAAUCCAAGGGAGAAGGCCUUUCACCUUUGAGGAGAUAGAUGAAGUUCGAGAAAUGUUGGAAAUUUUCAUUACCAGUGAUUGUCUUUGAUAUUUUCUUGUACUGGAUCUUAAAUUACGGAUGCUAGCUGGUUUUUCAUAUGAUUGUAAUGUAAUCGAUUUUUAUAUUUACAAUUAUAUAUUAUUUAAUUUAAUUAUCUAUAUAAUUGGAUACUUUUUAUA
Spinacia oleracea (spinach) is the source of this 989-nucleotide long non-coding RNA. RefSeq lists it as uncharacterized. The record is from RefSeq and is a predicted model, not a curated record. Lineage: Eukaryota; Viridiplantae; Streptophyta; Magnoliopsida; Caryophyllales; Amaranthaceae. The transcript has 8 exons.